GUGUCAGCAGCCGCGGUAAUACGUAGGAAGCAAGCGUUAUCCGGAUUUACUGGGCGUAAAGUGGACGUAGGCGGUCUUUCAAGUCGGAUGUGAAAUCUCCUGGCUUAACUGGGAGGGGUCAUCCGAUACUGUUGGACUAGAGGACAUCAGGGGAAGGUGGAAUUCCCGGUGUAGUGGUGAAAUGCGUAGAUAUCGGGAGGAACACCAGUGGCGAAGGCGGCCUUCCAGGAUGUUUCUGACGCUGAGGUCCGAAAGUGUGGGGAGCGAACAGGAUUAGAAACCCGCGUAGUCC
Molecule: ribosomal RNA, 292 nt
Filed under: uncultured bacterium
Lineage: Bacteria
Description: partial 16S ribosomal RNA
Rfam family: Bacterial small subunit ribosomal RNA
Source: RNAcentral